This is a small nucleolar RNA of Tripterygium wilfordii, 82 nucleotides long. RefSeq annotates it as small nucleolar RNA R12. The record is from RefSeq and is a predicted model, not a curated record. The transcript has a single exon. NCBI's taxonomy places the organism in Eukaryota, Viridiplantae, Streptophyta, Magnoliopsida, Celastrales, Celastraceae.
AUGAUGUAUGAUGAAGUAAAUCAGACGGAUUCCCAUUGAUUUUAUUCAAAAUAUGAUGUCACAACCGACUCUUCUUACUCAU